Molecule: small RNA, 512 nt
Filed under: Histoplasma capsulatum
Lineage: Eukaryota; Fungi; Ascomycota; Eurotiomycetes; Onygenales; Ajellomycetaceae
Also listed under: 1 other name
Description: hypothetical RNA
Source: RNAcentral
CCGCAGCGUUUCUGGAUCUGUUUGCAGUGUUGACGACGAAGGCUCUCCUGAAAAAAAUAUUCUUUGGAUGUUGUUUUAUUAUCUUUGAAGUUCUUAUGUCUGGCGGCUGGUGGUCCACGUAUCGCUUUCCAUGAUUAUGGAGGCUAGAGUGCUCACGAUUUUUUUCCGACGAGGACACCGUAGUUUCCCAAGUUCUCUCACCUCGGCAUACUGAAUAUUAAUAGAGAAGAUGAGGUCCACGAAAAGGGCCCGAAAGGAUAUGAGGGAGGUUGAGAAAGGGAAAAUAAAGUGAUAGACCCAUUUGCUGUAUUAUCCGUGAUGAGGAUAAACCAAACCACAAAAAUACAAUGCUGAAGGGAAAAAAGAAAUAAAGAGAAACAGAAAGAGAAAGAAAGGCAAUACAGAUAAGGAACAAAAGGGAAUCAGAUACUCAGGCAAAACAUCCAGCCCAUUCCCGGAUCCUGAGAUCCAUGGAAAAGUAUAUACAUAUAUAUAUAUAUAUGAAGUUCGAA